This is a non-coding RNA of Potamilus streckersoni, 71 nucleotides long. The record is from the annotation of a GenBank genome assembly. Lineage: Eukaryota; Metazoa; Mollusca; Bivalvia; Unionida; Unionidae.
ACUUUGGUGACCUAGUGGUCAGAGUGUAUGCCUUGGAUGUGGGAGGUCGUGGGUACAAUCCCCGCCAAGUA